CAGAGCUACCGAUAUCGGAGUCGUCCCCGGCAUCAACUCAAUACCAAACUAUACCUCUCAGAUUGGUGGAAAACCCAAUAAUUCUUCAGGAAACACAUCUGAAAACUCGCACACAACUGGUAUUGAUUCAAUCUUCUUUUCAGUCACUUUAGAAUUGAGCACAUAGGAAAAGUAAGCUUCACAACCCUUUUUCACAUAUUUCU
RNAcentral lists this long non-coding RNA (203 nucleotides) under Gossypium barbadense (sea-island cotton). Its description in RNAcentral is "long non-coding RNA (GBAR_LNC004406)". Lineage: Eukaryota; Viridiplantae; Streptophyta; Magnoliopsida; Malvales; Malvaceae. The record is from RNAcentral.